UACGUAGGGGGCAAGCGUUGUCCGGAUUUAUUGGGCGUAAAGAGCGUGUAGGCGGCCUUACAGGUCAGCUGUGAAAACUCGAGGCUCAACCUCGAGACGUCGGUUGAAACCGUAUGGCUAGAGUCCGGAAGAGGAGAGUGGAAUUCCCGGUGUAGCGGUGAAAUGCGCAGAUAUCGGGAAGAACACCCGUGGCGAAGGCGGCUCUCUGGGACGGUACUGACGCUGAGACACGAAAGCGUGGGUAGCAAACAGG
RNAcentral lists this ribosomal RNA (253 nucleotides) under uncultured bacterium. RNAcentral's name for it is "partial 16S ribosomal RNA". It matches the Rfam family "Bacterial small subunit ribosomal RNA", at positions 524 to 776 of the family's 1533-position model. The record is from RNAcentral.